UCCCCUUUAGCUCAGUGGUUUUAGAGUUUCGUGCUUAUGUCACGAAUGUCGGCAGUUCAAUCCUGUCAAGGGGAA
This 75-nucleotide transfer RNA is filed under the name Kwoniella mangroviensis CBS 8507. RNAcentral describes it as "tRNA-Ile (TAT) (tRNA-Ile-TAT-1-1)". It matches the Rfam family "tRNA". Rfam says of the family: Transfer RNA (tRNA) molecules are approximately 80 nucleotides in length. RNAcentral also lists the same sequence under 2 other names. The record is from RNAcentral. Lineage: Eukaryota; Fungi; Basidiomycota; Tremellomycetes; Tremellales; Cryptococcaceae.